Molecule: ribosomal RNA, 253 nt
Filed under: uncultured bacterium
Lineage: Bacteria
Description: partial 16S ribosomal RNA
Rfam family: Bacterial small subunit ribosomal RNA
Source: RNAcentral
UACGUAGGGUGCAAGCGUUGUCCGGAAUUAUUGGGCGUAAAGGGCUCGUAGGCGGCCAACUAAGUCGGACGUGAAAUCCCUCGGCUUAACCGGGGAACUGCGUCCGAUACUGGAUGGCUUGAGGUUGGGAGAGGGAUGCGGAAUUCCAGGUGUAGCGGUGAAAUGCGUAGAUAUCAGGAAGAACACCCGUGGCGAAGGCGGCUCUCUGGGACGGUACUGACGCUGAGACGCGAAAGCGUGGGGAGCGAACAGG